AAUACUGGACAAUGGGCGAAAGCCUCAUCCAGCCAUGCCGCGUCUUUGAAGAAGGCCGUCGGAUUGUAAAGCACCUAAAGUUGGGAGGAAGGGCAGUAAGUCACUACCUUGCUGUUUUGACGUUACCGUCAGUAUAACCACCGGCUAACUUCGUGCCAGCAGCCGCUGUAAUACGAAGGGUGCAAGCGUUAAUCGGAAUUAUUGGGCGUAAUGGAGGCGUAGGUGGUUUGUUAAGUUGGAAGUGACGACCCCGGGCUCAACCUGGGAACAGCUUUCAAAACUGGCAAGCUAGAGUAGGGCAGAGGGUGGUGGAAUUUCCUGUGUAGCGGUGAAAUGCGUAGAUAUAGGAAGGAACACCAGUGGCGAAGGCGACCACCUAGGCUAAUACUGACACUGAGGUGCGAAAGCGGGGGGAGCAAAC
This 421-nucleotide ribosomal RNA is filed under the name uncultured bacterium. RNAcentral describes it as "partial 16S ribosomal RNA". It matches the Rfam family "Bacterial small subunit ribosomal RNA", at positions 360 to 773 of the family's 1533-position model. The record is from RNAcentral.